GUGCUGCCUUUGAACCCCUGUCACACCUGCGCAUGACACCAGGAGUCAGGCUGCAGCACCAGAGCAUGAGUUCACACAUAGCUGGGGCCACCCGCAGCUCAUGGGCUGCCCUUUUAAUCACGAGUGACAUUG
This is a small nucleolar RNA of Oryctolagus cuniculus (rabbit), 132 nucleotides long. The record is from Ensembl. Lineage: Eukaryota; Metazoa; Chordata; Mammalia; Lagomorpha; Leporidae.